AUUGAACGCUGGCGGCAGGCUUAACACAUGCAAGUCGAGCGGGGUGAUGGUGCUUGCACUAUCACUUAGCGGCGGACGGGUGAGUAAUGCUUAGGAAUCUGCCUAUUAGUGGGGGACAACAUCUCGAAAGGGAUGCUAAUACCGCAUACGUCCUACGGGAGAAAGCAGGGGAUCACUUGUGACCUUGCGCUAAUAGAUGAGCCUAAGUCGGAUUAGCUAGUUGGUGGGGUAAAGGCCUACCAAGGCGACGAUCUGUAGCGGGUCUGAGAGGAUGAGCAGCCACACUGGGACUGAGACACGGACCAGACUCCUACGGGAGGCAGCAGUGGGGAAUAUUGGACAAUGGGGGGAACCCUGAUCCAGCCAUGCCGCGUGUGUGAAGAAGGCCUUAUGGUUGUAAAGCACUUUAAGCGAGGAGGAGGCUCUUUUGGUUAAUACCCAAGAUGAGUGGACGUUACUCGCAGAAUAAGCACCGGCUAACUCUGUGCCAGCCGCCGCGGUAA
This 503-nucleotide ribosomal RNA is filed under the name uncultured bacterium. RNAcentral describes it as "partial 16S ribosomal RNA". It matches the Rfam family "Bacterial small subunit ribosomal RNA", at positions 30 to 523 of the family's 1533-position model. The record is from RNAcentral.